UGAAGAGAUGUAUUGUUUUGGUCUAA
Molecule: non-coding RNA, 26 nt
Filed under: Rattus norvegicus (Norway rat)
Lineage: Eukaryota; Metazoa; Chordata; Mammalia; Rodentia; Muridae
Source: RNAcentral